GACGAACGCUGGCGGCGUGGAUUAGGCAUGCAAGUCGGACGGUAGAGCUUUAUCGUAAGAUAGAGUUUGAGAGUGGCGAACGGGUGAGUAACACGUAGGAAUCUACCCUUAAGACGGGGACAACCCAGGGAAACUUGGGCUAAUACCGGAUGAGAGUGCGAGAGAUUGCAUUUAAAAGGAUGGCGAAAGUUGUCGCUUAGGGAUGAGCCUGCGUCCUAUUAGUUAGUUGGUGAGGUAACGGCCCACCUAGGCAAUGAUAGGUAGGCGGCCUUAACGGGUGGUCGCCCACACUGGGAUUGAGAUACGGCCCAGACUCCUACGGGAGGCAGCAGUCGAGAAUAGUCUACAAUGGUCGGAAGACUGAUAGUGCGACGCCGCGUGAACGAUGAAUCCCUUCGGGGUGUAAAGUUCUUUUAUAUGUGAGCAGUGCUUCUUAUAUUAACAGUAUGGGGAGAGAGAUAUUAGCAUAUGAAUAAGCAACGGCUAACUCCGUGCCAGCAGCCG
Molecule: ribosomal RNA, 504 nt
Filed under: uncultured bacterium
Lineage: Bacteria
Description: bacterial SSU rRNA
Rfam family: Bacterial small subunit ribosomal RNA
Source: RNAcentral